AAACUGUGCUUGCACAGCCUAGCCAAGGCGGACGGGUGAGUAACGCGUAAGGAACUUGCCCUGCAGUCAGGGAUAACAGACGGAAACGACUGAUAAGACCUGGUAAAGUCAGGCGGACUCAUGUCCAGCCUGAUGAAAAGAGAUGCUGCAGGAGAGCCUUGCGUCCUAUUAGCUUGUUGGUGGGGUAACGGCCCACCAAGGCGAUGAUAGGUAGCCGGCCUGAGAGGGUGGACGGCCACAAGGGGACUGAGAUACGGCCCUUACUCCUACGGGAGGCAGCAGUGGGGAAUAUUGGACAAUGGGGGCAACCCUGAUCCAGCAAUUCUGUGUGCACGAUGAAGGUUUUCGGAUUGUAAAGUGCUUUCAGCAGGGAAGAAAAAAAUGACGGUACCUGCAGAAGAAGCGACGGCUAAAUACGUGCCAGCAGCCGCGGUAAUACGUAUGUCGCAAGCGUUAUCCGGAAUUAUUGGGCAUAAAGGGCAUCUAGGCGGCCAGAUAAGUCUGGGGUGAAAACUUGCGGCUCAACCGCAAGCCUGCCCUGGAAACUAUGUGGCUAGAGUACUGGAGAGGUGGACGGAACUGCACGAGGAGAGGUGAAAUUCGUAGAUAUGUGCAGGAAUGCCGAUGAUGAAGAUAGUUCACUGGACGGUAACUGACGCUGAAGUGCGAAAGCUAGGGGAGCAAACAGGAUUAGAUACCCUGGUAGUCCUAGCUGUAAACGAUGAUUACUGGGUGUGGGCAUGAAGAGUGUCCGUGCCGAA
RNAcentral lists this ribosomal RNA (761 nucleotides) under uncultured Leptotrichia sp. RNAcentral describes it as "bacterial SSU rRNA". It matches the Rfam family "Bacterial small subunit ribosomal RNA", at positions 71 to 850 of the family's 1533-position model. Lineage: Bacteria; Fusobacteriati; Fusobacteriota; Fusobacteriia; Fusobacteriales; Leptotrichiaceae. The record is from RNAcentral.